This is a long non-coding RNA of Hemiscyllium ocellatum (epaulette shark), 1468 nucleotides long. RefSeq lists it as uncharacterized. NCBI's taxonomy places the organism in Eukaryota, Metazoa, Chordata, Chondrichthyes, Orectolobiformes, Hemiscylliidae. The transcript is spliced from 6 exons. The record is from RefSeq and is a predicted model, not a curated record.
AUAUUUCACUUCCUAGUCAGUUCGGUGUUGGUUUCAGCUAGACCGACAAAGUUACUGAGUGCUAGUGCUGGGUUCGAGCCCACGUCCUCCCGACUGCAACAAUGGUCCUCCGAAUUGAAGUGAAAUACAGUAACUCCUGAAGUUAUAAGAAACGGUUCACAACACUGAAAGAUGACUUGGAGACAGAAUUCCCACAUCAACUGGAAAUUACUGGAACUCCAGUCUGAAGCCAAGGUGUUUUCAAAGUUUACGUGCAGGACUCCAAAAUGCUGCUGUAUUCUGAACUGCAAGGAAACUUUGAAGACCGAUCCACAUAUGAUCAACUCUUUUCAAAAAUUCAAGCAGUUCUCCACAAAAAAUAAAAGCUGUAAUUACAUUGGUUGAACGUCCUUUUGCUUUGUUCACUUCGGCUGAACACAUCAUGAUGGUGAUGGCUGAAAUGCCUGCAAAGGCAUGGCUGUUUCCUGAUGUCUACGUGGGAUGUCGCAGUGACUGAAGUUAUCUGGGGUUUGGCCUGUGGGUUUGUCUUAAAAUGUUUCUUUUUUAUGCUUUGCCUCUACACCACAAUGGUGAGUUUUCCUCCUGCAGUGCAAUAGCAAACAAUUCAAACAAUGUUUACUCUUUGAAUUAAAGGGCAUAGCCAUUUUUUUUAAAGCAACCUGCCAUAUGUUUUCACUUUGUAAUCCUUAUUAAUUAGGAAGUAUGGCCUGUCAGCAUGAUAGCCACUUUAUUUCUGUAACUGAUUGUUUAUUUGGAAUCUAGCCCAUUCCCCACAGAGCAGUUCCCUAAUUCUUUAUCAAACUGGUCACUUUGUAAAGCUAGUCUGCAAAAUGUGCAUUGCCAACGCUACAGUCUUAAUCACCCACAAAGAUACCUUGGGAAUCCCCUUUUAUGGGGCUAAACGAUAGGGUUUGUAAAGCAGCUGAGGUACAAAGUCACAGGGGGAACAAUCCUUUGGAAAACUAAAUUUGUAGUGUAAACAGUCUAAAACCUGGCACACUGGUGGUUGUGAUGGUAAAAUUAACCUUUUUUUUGAUUAGAUACCAAGACCAAUGGUUUGGAAACAAAUGCACUGAAUGUACUAACCAAUUUUAACAAGCAGGUUUGCAUUUUGACUUUGCCUGAAUUCUACUUCCACUGUGCCACAUGAUAUUGUAUUCAGUUUAAAUGUAUGAAGAUUUAAAUCUCCACUGGCACAAUAGCCUAGUAAUAGUGUGGGCCAAAGAAACAGCAGGGUGCUUUAGUAAAUGUUGCUUGAUUGAAGUAAUGCAACUUCCACUGGAUGCCAGUUAGCUUUGCUGUCUACCACUUCUGGCCAUGUUGAUGCUCUCUUCUGGGUGGCUUUAAAGGAAUUAUUAUUGGUGAACUGUAUAAUCUUAAAAAAAUCAACAUUUUGUUUUUGGAACAACCAGAAGGCAGUUCUAUUAACCUGUAUCUUGAACAACAAUAAAAACAUUGUUGAUUUUUA